UACGUAGGGUGCAAGCGUUGUCCGGAAUUAUUGGGCGUAAAGAGCUCGUAGGCGGUUUGUCGCGUCUGCUGUGAAAACCCGAGGCUCAACCUCGGGCCUGCAGUGGGUACGGGCAGACUAGAGUGGCGGUAGGGGAGAUUGGAAUUCCUGGUGUAGCGGUGGAAUGCGCAGAUAUCAGGAGGAACACCGAUGGCGAAGGCAGAUCUCUGGGCCGUAACUGACGCUGAGGAGCGAAAGCGUGGGGAGCAAACAGG
Molecule: ribosomal RNA, 254 nt
Filed under: uncultured bacterium
Lineage: Bacteria
Description: partial 16S ribosomal RNA
Rfam family: Bacterial small subunit ribosomal RNA
Source: RNAcentral